CCCUCCAGACUGCUUCCUGUUAAUGUAAUCACAGGCGCUUUUUGCACAUGGGUAUUAUGACUGUCAUUCCAUAGUCUUCACUUGUUAUGUCCUGGUUUUGGGUAUUUAAUAGAAGAUGUUAUGUACUCUAAUUUGUCCUGUUGUCUUGAGAUAAAUUUCCAGAAAUGGGAUCUUUGGUAUGUAUAUUUUAUAUUUUGUGUGUUUUGCAGAACUCGUGUGUACUGAUAAGUACUCAAAAAGUGCAUGAGUGUCAUUUCUUUACAUCCUUUUAAAAUUGUUUUUGUUUAAAUCUUUAAGAAACUGAUAUUCUCCUUUACCUCUUUGAUGGCUAAUGAAUAUCGUACAUUUACUUCUUGUGAAUUGCCUAUGGGGACCCUAUUCCAGUUUCUCUUUUGGAACACUGUUAUUAACCCUUUAUCAUGUGUUACAAGUAUUUUCCCCAGCUUAUUCUUUGUCCUUUGAUCUUAUGGUCUUUUUGCCGUGUAAGUCUAAGAAUUCUGGACACUGUCCCUGAUGGCUUUCCUUAAUGAUCUUUUUCUUUUUUAAAUGGAUCAUUAAUUAAGUUAUUUGGAGGGGGUUCUCCCUUCUGUUAAAUAUAGUGUGGUCUUCAUCUGUCUUGUAGACUUAGACAUUUAUUCUUCCUUUUCAAACGAGAGCUCCCAUAUGCUUUUUCUUAGUCACAUCUAUUUUGACAGAGUUGGAAUCAGCAUAUGCAUAUUAUUUGUCCAAAUCUACCCAUAUGUGAGCUCCUAGGAUUUGAAGGUUUCCUUUAACAACUGUUCUCUUCAUUUAAAAAUAGUCCUUUCUUCAAAUGACAGGAGUUUGUCUUAUUUUUUAAUUGAAGUUAUGCAUAUAUUUGAUUUUAUGAGACUUAUGACUAAAAAUAGUCCCUUUCCUUUUGCAGCCUAAAGUCCAGGGCAACGACUUCAACUCCACUAUUUUUCUUCUUUUUUGUUGUUGUUUUUAAAUUUUGUUUUUAUUGACAUGUAGCUGAUUAACAAUGUUAGUUUCAGGGGUACUCAGCUGUUUUUCUGACAAACAGUAUGCCUUCUUAUUUCUCAAUAACUUUUUUUUCCUAAAUUGAGGUGAAAUUUACAUACAAAAUUCAUCACUUUAAAGUGAAAAAUUCAGUGGCAUUUAGUACAUUCAAAUGUGCAACAACCACUCCUAUCUAGUUCCAAAACAUUUUCAUAACCCCAAAAUAAAACCCCUUACUCAUAAAGCAUUUACUCCUCAUUCUCUCCCCUCCAGCCCUUGGCAACUACCAGUCUGCUUUCUUUUCCUAUGGGUUUACCUAUUCUGAAUAUAUCAUAUAAAUGGAAUUAUACAACGUAUGACCUUUAAUGUUUGGCUUUCACUUAGCAUGAUGCUUUUGGGACUCGCUGACGUAGCAUGUGUUUGUAUGUCAUUUUUAUGGCUAAUAUCCCACCUUAUGUUUAUACCAUAAUUCUUUUAUAUAUUCAUCAGCAGAUGGAUAUUUGGAUUACAUCUACCUUUUGGCUAUUUUGAAUAGUGCUGCUAUAAACAUUCAUGUACAUGUACUUGUUUCCAGUCCUUUUGGAUAUAUACUUGGAAGUGGAAUUGCUCUAAGUAACAUUCUUAUACUAUGAUUUCUUGAUUUUAGUUUAUACUUCUUCCCCUGGAAUCAUAAUUAUAUGUUUACAUAUAAUAUAUGUAAUUCUACACUUAACGUUUCUGUAAGUAGAUAUAUUUACAUAAAAUGUUAGUAAUUACUUUGUUCUUCCAUCUGCUCAGUGUUCUGUGCUCCUGUCUCAUGUGUUCAUCCCUAAAUGUUGAGCCAUAGUUCAAAUCUCAAUAUGUUCAAUUUUACUUUUGUUUUUACUAUGUGGUGAUACCCCUCCCAGGACCCCUAUCCUCUAGCUCCAACUCAAACAGGUUACUCUUGAGGUCUAUAGUUCUGGGGUCUCCUUUUGCCAUCAGUAUAGAAUUCUUUUUGCUUCCAGUGUCAGGAGUACCUGUUUCCACAUCACAUGUCUUCCUCUUUCUUUGUUUACUGCUUCCUUUUGGUGAAACAUCCUUUAGUAGCUCCCGAAGAAAGGGCUCAAUCCUUGGACCUCAUUUCUUCUCUGUUUAUACGAACAUUGAGUCUGGCUUUAAAUGCUAUCUGAGGUUAUUAUGCUAAAAUUUCUACCUCCAGGGCAGAUCUCUGAACUCUAGUCUGAGAUAUGCAUCUGCCUAUUCAGAUCCCCAAGCAGAUCUCUGAUAUACACCUGGACUUUAUCCUGAACUAAACUUGAUUUUUGCAGCCCAAACCUCUGUCCCAAGACAUCUCCAUCUCAGUAAAUGGCAACUUGAUUCAUCCUUGGACCAAAAACCUGAGUCAUCCUUGCUUUUUUUUCCUCUUAAACCACACAUCCACUUGGUCACCAAAUCCUCUUGGCUCGAUCUUUACAAUAUAUCCCCAGAUUUGACCACUUACCACCUCUUCUACAAACACCCUAGUCUGAGUCACUUUCUCUUACCCUUACUAUUGUAAAAGCCUCCUAACUGUUCUCUCUUUGACCCCCACCAACAUCUUCUGCAUCCAGCAUCUAGAGUGGUUUUUUUUUAAGACUUUAUUUUUUAAAUAGUGGUACUGGGGAUUGAACCCAGGACCUCGUACAUGCUAAGCAUGCACUCUACCACUGAGCUUUACCCUCCCACUCUAGAGUGGUCUUUUAAAAUCUAAGUCACGUGCUGUCCCAAGUGCUCAAAAACUUCCAGUGGUUUCCCGUCUCCUUUAGAGUAAAAUUUAUAAUCCAUACCUUGCCUUACAAGGGAGUGUUAGGAUCCUGGCAGGAAAACAGGUGAGUGUCACACUCAAAUUGAGCAAUUUGGAGACUGUUUACUAGAGGAACUCUUUACAAAGGUGUGAGUGGGGUUUAGGGAAGCCACGGGUAAACUGUGUGAGGUUCCCUGGAGCUGGCAAUCACGGGAAGGCAUUAGGUAGUCCCACUCUAGCUGAAGAACGAAGGGAACUCAGAGCUGCUGAGCAUCACCUGGCAGAAGCUGUGGCUCUCAGAAAGACUCCGCCUGCCCUCUGAUUUUUGCAGAUGCCUCCCAUUGGCUAAAUGUCAUAGGAAGCCAGACACCAAGAGAGCCUGUUGGCAUGGCCCAUACUCAGCUUCCCAGGCAACAGAGCAGGGUGGAUAGUGGGUCUGGGGGGACAAAAGCAAAAUAUUCAGGACAAAGGGCCCUGUGAUCUGGCCUAUGCGUUCAUCUCCUACCACCCUUCUUAGUCAUACUGGCCUGGUUUCACAAGUACUCUUCGCUGGUCAUUGCCCUUGUUCAUUCCUCUGCCUGGAAGGCUCUCCCCCAGAUAUCUGUGUGGCUUGCUCCUUCACUGAGGUUCAAGUGACCUCAACCAAUGAGGCCCUAUCCAAAAGAGCUCCCUCCCACCCAGCACUCCAUCCCCCCACUUCAGAGUCCUGAUUACUAUCUGACGUGUUAUUUUCAGAUUAUAUGAAAGCCCUGUUUGUUCACUGCUAUAUCCCUAGUGUUUAGAAAAAUGUCUGGCACAUAGUAGGUUCUCAAUAAAUAUUGGUUAAAUAAAUGCACACAAGGGAUGAAAAACACUUUUGAGAUCUUGGGAAAAGUCUUUUUCAGCUCUCACUGUGGAUUGAUAAAAUUUGAAUGGGAAUAGAGUCUUAGUUGGAAAUCAUUUUUCCUAAAAACUUACCACUGCUUCUUUUUAGCUAAAAACAAACAAAAAUUGCUGUUGAGAAAUCAGAUGUCAUUCUGUUUCCCACUCUUUUGUUUGUAACCUUUUUUCUUUUUCCUUUUCUUGACCUGAUGCUUUUAGGAUCAUCUCUUUAUUGCUUAGUGUUCUGAGAUUUGCAAUAAUACCUUGAUUUUUGUCUGUUUUCAUUUGUUCUGCAGUGUGCUCAGUGAGCUAUUUCAGUUUCAAAAUUGCCUUGCAGUUCUGGGGAAUUUUCUUGAAUUAUUCCUUUAAUACUUCUUCCAUACUAUUUUCUAUGUUAUCUUUCUGGAACUCGUUAUUUACACAUCAGAUUUUUGGACUGAGCCUCUAAUUUUUGUGUCUUUUACCAACUAUUGUCCAUCUCUUUUCCUACUUUAUGAGAGAUUUCAACUUUAUCUUCCAAUAUUAUUACUAAUUUUUCCAUUUCUACCUUUAUAUUUUUAAUCUCAGAGCCAGUGGUAUGUUGGUAAAUGCUGUUAUAUGUGUAUGUUGAUAUGUGUUUGUAUAUAUGUAUAUAUACAUAGUAUUUACAUAUAUAUGUUGUAUAUAUGUCUGUAUGUUGUGUGUUGGUAAAUGUUUUAACAACUCUGAAGUGAAGGGGACAACUCUGACUUGUGUAGUUUACCUAUUUCUGGGGUAUAAAAACUCCCUCUGAUCAAUUUCAAGCUACCAAUAUGGUAUCACUUUAGUAGUAGACCAUUACAUAUACUUCCCCCAUACAGAAACAAUAAACGUAAGUGGCUUCAUGAUCAUAGAUAGUAACAAAACUAUAUAAAAUAAUUAGGAAGUGAAGAGCUUUGAGUAUCUGUUUUGAAUAUAAUUUGUUUUGAAAUAAUUUAUUUACCUUUGAGUUUAUAUAAUUUAAUUUUUAAUAACUCCUUGUGCUUCACUGGCUUGCACAAUUCCUGCAAAUGUAACAGUUGGCUCUUGCGAGCUUUUAUGAGCCAGAUCUAGCUCACCACCACUCAGAGCUCAUCUUUGUACCCUGAACUUUCUUCUUACAGAAACCUGCUGUUUCACAGAUAAAAUAUCUUCUCAUCUCUGAAUACAUUAAUGAUAAUCUUAAACAUUUUCUGCCUCUACAUUGUUUUCUCUGAGCUCCUUUUUGUAUUUGCUUGUCUUUUAUGUUAGAGGCUUUCCUCACAUGUCCAAUAAUCCUCGUAAGGAUCUGAAUUGUGAUGCCCACUACAGACAGCACGGAAUUGUAUCCAGAUGCAGUUCCUCUUUUUCACUACUAGGUGGCGUUGAUUGCUGUUGUUGCUGGGGAUGCUGACACUACCCUAUACUUGCAGCUUCUUAAAAUUUAGAAGUAUUCUCACAUUUGUUAUUUUUUUGAUUUUCAACUUCCCAAAAAGUCGACUCCACAUUUCUUGGGGAGGAGAUUUGGUAUAAAUUCAUUUAAGAAAAUUGCCCCCAUUUUAAAGAUGAGGAAACUGAAGCUCAAAAAAGGGCUGUGGUGAGGGGGAAGGAGAUGGAAGAGGAGGAAGAAGUUGGAAAAGCAGAAAGCAUCUGUCUCUGCAAGGGGACGGUCCUCUCCGGUUCCAGCAGCCAGUGUGCCUGAGGGUGAGCCGGGCUCGGGGAUCUGACAGGGGAGAGGCUGUGCUGGGGCUGCGCGCUUCUCCACUCAGGCACCGACCAACAGGCUGGAGGUUGGAGCUUCUGGGUUGCCAUUGUGUUGCCUGUAUGGGGACGCUAUGGUGCUGGGCCUGGAAUGAAGGGGGACUUGGGACAGAGAGACCAUCCAGUGCUGGAGGUGUGGGACAGUCCAUGUCACCCUGGCGGUCCUGCUCUGCCAGUAUCUGCUCUUCUAGUUCAGGGACAGGGCACUUUGGACUGAUCCGGGGUCCUCUCAGCCUGGGUCGUCAGCACCUGCACUCACACCCCACCAACAAGGCUUUUCGCUGAAAUACUGGAGCAGCACUGGUCUUGAAAGAAGAAUGGUUAGGUAGGUACCCUACCCUGUGAGGGGCAUUAAACAGAGCCCCUCCCCAUUGCCCUAAAUCUCUAGCUAACUUGUUGCAGUGCCUGAAAUCCCAUCAUUGGAAAAGCACAUACAUUUCCUAGAUGGUCUGGCACAUUCUUUGAGAGCCUGCACAGAUAUAGUUAUAGACUAACAGAUUCACAAAGAUCCAAAGGUAAACAGCAAAGCUCUACACUAACUAAAAUGAUAUUAUUUAUGCAAAUCACCCCUGAGCACUAACCACCUCUAACUCAGGAUCAGGGAGUUACGGGUCACAAACCCUUUUGUUUCCAUAACUCACUGGAACCUUAUAGCAAACCUGUACUGCAGGAAAGUAUUAAACUUCUCUGCUUCAGUUUCCUCUUAUGAAAUGGAGGUAAAGGCCCUUGCCCAAGGUCAUAUGGCCAAUUGAGGCCACAAAGACAGGACACUAGAUUUUAGAGACAGAAGGGCUUAUUUGUUCCUAUUUUCUCAAAGCAGCCUGGGGUGUGACACUCUCAACCCUAUAGAAGGACAGGUCUCUGACCUUUGAAAGCAAGAUAAAGAUGGUGAAGCUGGAAAGGGAAAGUCAUUUGGGCGGGUGUGUGAGGGACCCGGAGUGCAGGUCAGGCUGGUCACUGAGGAAACUGAACCGGGAUUUGGGAGUGUGGUCAGUUAGCUGUUCAGGUGAUGAGACUGAGGUCCCCUCUACCUACCCAGGGGAAGAGCCUGGGUUGGGGAGUCUGCAAAUAGCGCAGUCAGGAUGGAACCCAGGCUGUCAGUGCCUGAGCCCUGAUUUCCCCAUCAACGCACCCCAAGGGGUGCUGUGUGAACUUCGGAAGUCUCACUGCCCUGCUGAUCCUUACUAGAAAAGAGGAGUUUGGACCAGGUAGGCUUCCCUGACUAUGCCAUGCCAAGUUCCGGAAGCAGGUGAAACGAUUCAAGUCUCCAGCACCUCUAGAAGAGAGGCCUGGGGACAGGAAGGAUGAGUGUUUCCAGUCCUGACUGAAUCACUUUUUCUUACAUUAGAACAGAUUCCUUUCUGGCCUGAAGGUUGGAAACUCAGGUGCACCCAUGCGGCAUCUCCUAGGCUCUGCCUAGCCUGCCCAUUUAUUCCUUCAGCAACACUCUCUAAAGCUUACGAUGGCCCUGGCCCCUCCUCUCUCCUCUCUUAUCCAUCUAUCCAUCCAUCCAACCAGUCAACAAAUAGUUAUUGAACUAUGUCAGCUGCUAUUUUAGGGUUUGGGAUACAACAGCGAACAAAACCAAACAUAGUCCCUGCUCUCAUGGAGCCUACAUGGCUUUGAAGCGGAGAGAUAUUAAGCAAAUAAUCACUAUACAGAUGUAGAUGUCAACCACAGAAGUGCAAAGGAGACUAAAGGAGACAUGCCUGGUGCUGCGAGAGCCAACAUGGUGGGGUGGGGGUGGGGGCAGAGAAGGCCUCUCUGAGGAGGUGGCUCUUGAACUGUUAUCUGACGUAAGGGGGAGUGGAGCUGGGGGUAUGUAGUGGACAUUCCAGGCACAGGAAAUAGCCUGUACAAAGGCCUUGUGGCAGAAGGGAGCCCAGUGAGUUGGGGAGGGAGAGUGGGGCUAAGGAGGAAGGACAGGACGCAGGGGCCAGACUCACAGGACUACAGGCCUUUGAAAGGAACUGUCUUUUCUUUAGAGCAACAGGGAUAAAAGGGUUUCAUUGGGGAGUGAGAUGAUCAGCUUUACAUUUUGAAAAUAUUCUGGCUCCCUGCUGGGUGAAGAGUGGACAAGGGUAGGUAGAAGGGGAACUGGACCUGGUGAAUUUGGGAGACCAGAGAGAGGAGGCCAGAGUCCAGAGGAGAGAUAACUGUGGCUUGGACUAAGGGGUCAGAGUAGAGAUGGAGGAGAAUGGACAAAUUAGAGAAGUAUCUGGAAAGUAAAUCUGUCCAGACUUGGGGUUGGGUUGGACAUGGGGUAUAAAAGAGAGAGAGGUAUGAGAGAUGACUGCCAGUCUCUGGCACGGGCAAAAGGAAGGAUGGUGGGUCAUUUGUGAAGACAGGGAACACUGAGGGAGGGGCAGGUGUGAGCAGCACAUUAUGAGUUCAGUUUUGGAGAUGUUGAGUUUGAACUGUCUUUAAGACAGUUGGCGAGGCCAAAUAAUAACACUUCCUGAGCACUAAGGCAUGCUAGGUGUUGCACCAAGGGCAUUGUAAGUAUCGUGUUGUUUAAUCCUCACAAGGCAUCAGCAUCUUCAUUUUUCAAAAGACACUGAGGCGCAGAAAGGGAGAGCAGGCAGGCCGCUGGACAGAUUGGCCUGAAGCUCAGAAGAAAGCUCUGCGCUGCAGACGUAAAGGUUUCCAGGAGGAGUAGAAAUUGAACCCAUGGUCAAAUGAAACUGCCCACAGAGAGAAGUGUCCAGCUUCUUCCCUCUCUUCUCACCCACCUCGAGCUGGGCUCCCCUCAGGCCCGCUGUCCCGUGCUGGGCAGAACAUGAGGUGCCUGGAUCCACCCUAGGUGUGGAGACUGUGUGUCAAACUAUUCAUUGUCCCCUCAAGAGGUGGGGUCUCACUGCCCUCCCUGUCAAUCUGCCAGGCCCAUGACUUGCUUAUAAUUAACAGAAUUCAGAGAAGUAACACUUUAGGACUUAGAAGCUAGGGCAGAAAAGGCCUGGUUACCUGGGACACUCAUGCUUGGGGUAGGAAGGCCAACCCUGAGGCCUCCAACCCGCGAGAGAGCCGAGGCCACUCGUAGAAGCCAUGCGCAGGUGGUCUGGAAAACAACCACGGUGGAGGCCCAGGAGGCAGCCAGUAGUAGCCCCCGGCACGUGGGUGAGGUUAUCUCCGUGUGAUUCCUGCCCUCGGCCCGUGAGGCCCCCCCAGCCACUGAAUCUGCUCAGCUGAGGCCCCAGACAUUCUGGAGCAGAGACAAGCCAUUCCUGCCAUGCCCUAUCGGAAUUCUUGACCUACAGGAACCUUGAGAACAAUACAAUGAUUGUCUUAAGGCAUUAGAUAUUGGGAUAACUUGUUUCACAGCAAAAAUAACAGGAACAUUUACUAAGGACGGGGAGGAUGAGUUUCUACAGCUUCAUGGCUGUUCGAGGGACAGGGCAGCGGCUUCCCGGCCUUUCUCCACCCACCACCCUCCCAGUUCUCACCUCACCUCACUCUGAACAGGCGUCCAUGGACGUGUCUGUCUGCCCUACCAGACAGGCUGUGAGCCCUGCCUGGGCAGGACGGCAGGACCUUCCUGGUUGCCUCGAGUCCCAGGUGCCCAGCACGGAGCCUGACACGGAGAGAAUCAGUAAGUGCUCGCUGGGGACGUGCAGCCUGCAGUUGGUCUGAUGUUUCUUUCACUGGAAGUGGGGAUCUCAGACUCCUUCCAAGGACAUGGGGGAGCUGGACGGAAGCUCUUGCUGGCUGCCUCACACAGAGACAGAGGAUUGGGCUGAAGGCAAUUUUUCAGAAAGCAUUCCCGUGAAUACAACAUUUUGAUUGAAACAACGAUUUGAUUGAAAAUGAAUAUUCCCCAGUUGCUGGGGUUUUUUCCCUACAGUGUCAGUUAUCAUCCUUCAUAGAUAAUUUUCAACCCUCUAAUAGUUUUAAAGCAUUUUUGCCUAUUUUCAGGAUUUUUCAGGACUUUACCCCUAAUUAUUUGUAAUUGGUUUUAGCCUACUUUACUGCAUUUGAGUAUUUGAAAUAGUUGGAAUUUGCAGCUGCCUGAAGGUCUCACUGAUGAGGAGAAUGCUUGGGACCGUGGGCUCAGAAUCACAGGGGAGGAACGCCAGAGGGGGCCCUUUACUGGGGUGUUCGCUUUGUGUGAGGAUAAGCUGAGGCUCUGAGGAGGAAGGAGCUUGUCCCGGGUCACACAGGGAGGGGACAGUGAGGACUAGCCAGGCUCCUGGCCUGGUGCCCUUUCCCCUCUGUUCCUGUUCCAGGUGUGAGCAGAAAUAGUCCCUAAGGCAGGACUAUGGGAGUUGUUUAAAUCUCUCUUUUGCACGUCUAGUUUCUGAUGUUUAUGUAACAGUAUGAAUUGCUCUGGGCACAAGAAAAAAAAGUGAACAGUAAAAGAAAGAAUAAA
This is a non-coding RNA of Vicugna pacos (alpaca), 9686 nucleotides long. NCBI's taxonomy places the organism in Eukaryota, Metazoa, Chordata, Mammalia, Artiodactyla, Camelidae. The record is from RefSeq and is a predicted model, not a curated record.